CCGACUAUAGCUCAGUUGGUAGAGCGGGAGACUGUAGUGAAACAGCCUAUCUCUAGGUCACCUGUUCGAAUCAGGUUGGUCGGA
Molecule: non-coding RNA, 84 nt
Organism: Phascolomyces articulosus
Lineage: Eukaryota; Fungi; Mucoromycota; Mucoromycetes; Mucorales; Lichtheimiaceae
Source: the annotation of a GenBank genome assembly